AAAUUAACUUCUGUCCUUUUAGUCUGGGCCAGUCUCCAGAUCAGACUUUUGGUUAACUGCUGUCAAAUAAAACCCAUAAGUGGAUAAUCCAAGCGAGAAUUCUGUUUGUGUGUGUGUUUCAGAUUUCUAAAUUUGGUGCCCUGGAACACUUGAGAGACUUCAAAUGGCCUUGGUGAUUUUUGUUUUUGUUUUUCUUCCACAAAAGUUGGUUUCAUCCACACCUGAGUUAAGGAACAAGUGAAGGAUGGCUUUGUGUUUGUAAAGCGCUUUGAAAACCUUGACUGAAGCACAGCAACAGAUAAAGGCUGAUCUUGAUAUCCUGGUCUCAAGUGAUCCUCCCACCUCAGCAUUCUAAAGUGCUAGGAUUACAGACAUGAGCUACUGCACCCAGCCAAUUGGAGGCCUUGCCCCAGCAGGUGGGGAAGGAAAUGCCAGCCAAGUUCCCACCACAUGCAGAAACCUGAGAGGGUGAACCCUACCCAUCAACACCUGGAGACCUUUUCCUGACUCUGGGACCCGCGACAGACAGAGUAGCCCCUGCAUGGGUGACUCCCUGAUUCCCACGAGGCCCCAGGGCUGCCGUGGCUCCUGCUGCUCCACAUAUUGUGGGGCACCUUGAUAGCCGAGGUUGCCUUAAGUUACCUCCAGCUUUGUUUCUGUCACUGCAAAUCAAAGAGCCCAGCCUAAAAUCCUCUGUAGCCUUCUUAUUUCCCCCACGGCAUGUGGCCACUCUCUACCCUCUCGCAAGCCUUGCCAGAGAUGCCAUCCUCCACUUCCACUGGGCACCUGGAGCCUGAACCUGGAAUCUUCCAAGACCCCAGAUCAGCCUCUGCUGACAGUUCUCUUGUAAAGAUACUGAGGAUAGGAUUACAGAGGCAGUCACACUUCUGAAGAUGACUUCGUGGACUGGAGACCAAUUGCAGGGCACCCUUGGGAGCCAUGAGCUGGACGGGACAGGGCAACAUGAUAUAAAGAGUCUGGGCCACUUAAGUUACCACUGGGGGAGAGUCUUCCCCUGAUUCAGGAAUACAUGGAUUGGAAUGGGGCAGCUGGCCCCAAAGAAAAUCUGUGAAAUGUUAAGACAUUGCUAAUUCAGUUA
RNAcentral lists this long non-coding RNA (1099 nucleotides) under Homo sapiens (human). RNAcentral describes it as "PREDICTED lncRNA (TCONS_00260765)". The record is from RNAcentral. Lineage: Eukaryota; Metazoa; Chordata; Mammalia; Primates; Hominidae.